CUCUUGAGCUCUUGUGGUGACCUGGGAAUCAAUGUGUGAGGUGGUGCUAUGUAGCAGGAACCCCUCUUGCUUUGCAAAUAGUUUUUUGUUUGUUUUCCUUUUUGCCCAAUAGAGCCCUGCUCUACUGACCCUUCAAUGUGCCCGUGUGCCUAAAUAUUCCUGGUCGUGUGAAAAGAACCCAGGUAUUAGCUGAACUAAGGAGCACAAUUCUGCAACAUUUUGGCACCCAAACACGGGGCUUGAGAAAUGAAUGCAAUUGGAGAAACUGGUUGUUUUACCAGGCGUUGAUUGGAAAUGUGUGCUUCCCUUUAAGCAGUCAAGCUCAACUUGCAGAACUGAUGGGAACCCCUUGGGAAAACUGGCCUCAAAUGUUUGUCUACACAGUCCACAUACAGGGUUCUUAACCUGCGGUGAGUAAAGAAUGUCACUUUCCAACAGGCCCAGAUAUCAUAUGCUCUUGGGACCUCAAGAAGAGAGGAGUUUACCCAAUUCAUAGGAGCUGUCAUUUAAAUGUGCUUGCCAACUAGCUUGUUUAUCAAAACAUUCCAGACCCUUUCAAAUUCUCAUUUACAUUGUUUCUUGUUUACCACACCCAUAAAUUUGUAUUACCAGCAUAUUUAACUAUCCGGCUAUUUUGGAGAUUGAAAAAAGAAGACCUGAUUUAUCAUGUGCAAUAUCUCACACAUCUGUCAUUUCUAUUCUACCGCAAUUCGAUGGAGUCUUGUUCUGUGGUCCAGGCUAGAGGGCAGUGGCAUGAUCUCGGCUCACUACAAGCUCUGCCUCCCGGGUUCACGCCAUUCUCCUGCCUCAGCCUCCUGAGUAGCUGGGACUACAGGCGCCCGCCACCACGCCUGGCUAAUUUUUUGUAUAUUUACUAGAGAUGGCUAGUGUUAGCCAAGAUGGUCUCGAUCUCCUGACCUCGUGAUCUGCCCACCUCAGCCUGCCAAAGUGCUGGGAUUACUGGCGUGAGCCACCGUGCCUGGCCAGCAUCCUCUAAUUAUUAUUCAUAGUUUGUGAAUUUAGGCCUACGUGAAUAAUAAUAUAAUAUUUACUAUGAUGUUACUAUCUACCAACCUUAUUUUUCUUUUCUAUAAAAUAGGAGCCAAAAUAAUAUUUAUGUCAUACCUUAUGAAGUUAAAAUAAAAUAUAACGAAUGAGGGGCUUAACAA
Molecule: long non-coding RNA, 1169 nt
Filed under: Homo sapiens (human)
Lineage: Eukaryota; Metazoa; Chordata; Mammalia; Primates; Hominidae
Description: p53 upregulated regulator of p53 levels
Source: RNAcentral